GUUUUAGAUUUUGAAAAAACAGACUUUUCUAAAAUUAGAAUAUGUGUAAAGAAGCCAUUAUCAGACUAGAGCAAUGUAAAUGGAGUCCAAGAGAAACGGGAUAAUUGAAAAGUUGCACUGCUAAAGGCAACAGAAAAUUGCAUUAGGCUUGUCAGUAAAAGCAUAAAAUUCAAGAAACCACUGUGGUACUCCGCAGAUGUGGACAAAAUAGUAAAAAACAAAAAGUUAGCAUUUAGUAAUUAUAAAAAAAAAACAGAGUGAGGAAGACAAAAUGAUCUAUAAGAUUAGACAGAAAGAGGCUAAGCAAGUUAUAAGAGCUUCAAAAAUCCCACUGAAGACAAAAUAGCACAGUCAAAAAAGGGGAC
This is a non-coding RNA of Pelobates cultripes (western spadefoot toad), 365 nucleotides long. Lineage: Eukaryota; Metazoa; Chordata; Amphibia; Anura; Pelobatidae. The record is from the annotation of a GenBank genome assembly.